Molecule: ribosomal RNA, 448 nt
Filed under: uncultured bacterium
Lineage: Bacteria
Description: bacterial SSU rRNA
Rfam family: Bacterial small subunit ribosomal RNA
Source: RNAcentral
UUUCGAAUCAUUCACAAUGGGCGAAAGCCUGAUGGUGCGACGCCGCGUGAGGGACGAAGGCCUUCGGGUCGUAAACCUCUGUCACCGGGGAAGAAACGCUGCAUAUUAAUCGUAUGCAGCCUGACUUAACCCGGAGAGGAAGCAGUGGCUAACUCUGUGCCAGCAGCCGCGGUAAUACAGAGACUGCAAGCGUUAUUCGGAUUCACUGGGCGUAAAGGGUGCGCAGGUGGUCGUGUGUGUCAGAUGUGAAAUCCCGGAGCUUAACUCCGGAACUGCGUCUGAAACUGCACGACUAGAGCAUUGGAGAGGGUAGUGGAAUUCACGGUGUAGCAGUGAAAUGCGUAGAUAUCGUGAGGAACACCAGAGGCGAAGGCGACUACCUGGACAAUUGCUGACACUCAGGCACGAAAGCAUGGGGAGCAAAAGGGAUUAGAUACCCCCGUAGUCC